CCCUUAGAUGUUCUGGGCCGCACGCGCGCUACACUGAUACAUGCAACGAGUUUAUAACCUUGAUCUGACGGUCUGGGUAAUCUUCAAACUGUAUCGUGUUAGGGAUCGAUUCUUGCAAUUUUUAAUCGUAAACGAGGAAUUCCUAGUAAACGCAAGUCAUCAGCUUGCAUUGAUUACGUCCCUGCCCUUUGUACACACCGCCCGUCGACUCUACCGAUUGAAUGGUUCGGUGAAAGCUUUGGACUGUGGCAUUGUCCUUCAUUGGACUUCGCCGUAGGAAAUUGUUUAAACCUCAUCAUUUAGAGGAAGAAUAAGUCGUAACA
RNAcentral lists this ribosomal RNA (323 nucleotides) under uncultured eukaryote. RNAcentral's name for it is "partial 18S ribosomal RNA". It matches the Rfam family "Eukaryotic small subunit ribosomal RNA", at positions 1470 to 1796 of the family's 1831-position model. The record is from RNAcentral.